AGUAAUGUAUAUUUGCACGUAACCUAUACACAUCCUCUCAUAUAUUUUAAAUAAUCUCUAGGUUACUUAUAAUACCUAAUACAAUGUGAAUGCUAUGUAAAUAGUUGUUACACAUUUUUUUGGUAUCUUUUUUGUAAUUGUUGUACUGUUAUUUUGGCUUAUUUGGUUUGGGGGGUUUUUUUGGUUGGCUGUUUUUUUUUUUUUUAAUAUUUCUUUUAGAGAUGGGGUCUUGCUAUGUUGCCCAGGCUGAACUUGAACUCCUGGGCUCAAGUGACCAUCCUGCCUCAGUCUCCCAAGCAGCCAGGAUUACAGGUGUGAGCCACCACACCCAGCUGUGUUCUUAUUUUUUACUGUUUUGCUUUGUUUUGUUUUUGGUAAAUAUUUUCUAUCUGUAGUUGAUCAAAUUCAUGGAUUUGAAACCCAUGGACAUGAAGAGCUAAAUAUACUUAGAAUUAAACUUUCAAAAAUUCCACAUCUCUGUGAAGAAAGCUCUAAGAGGUUCCUGAAGACCAUGAAGAAGCCUUGACCCAAUGAGAGGCUCUGCUCAUGGAUUCAGCUCGACACCAUAAAGACAAUGGGAUCCCCAGGAACCCACCUCCUGGUGUUCACUCCUGGUCUCUCCCACACUGACCUGGCCUGACCGGUGUGACCACCAUAUGUGAGAAUGACCGUAGGUGACUUCCAAGACUCAGCUACAAAAGAUACUACAGUGUCUAUCCUGCUCCCUCAUGGAUAUUUGCUCUCGGACACCAGCCCCAGGUCAGGAGGACACUCAGCCUGCCCUCAGCAUGCAACCAGAGCCCAUCAGCUGGCAGAAUGAACCAGCCUGGAAUGGCAUCCUCCAGCCUGCUACAUCAAGCCUUCUGAAAACCAUCUUCACAGGAGACCUGUGCCACAACCACCCAGCAAGGCUGCUCCCAAACUCUGCCCCACAGAGUAUACAGCGCUAAUUUAAUAGGAUAUCUAGUAAGUCAAGAAUGCGCACCAUAAUCAGAUAGCCCCUACAACAAGAAUACAGAAAGCUAACAGAGAAGAGGAAAUGAAAUAAUUUGUAAAUACUUGCCUGAUGCUUUAACCAUAAAGAGAUUGACUAAAGAACAGGUGAGAAAAUACAAGAUAAAUUUUAAAAUUAGGAUAGAUCUAGGCCCAAUUAUUAAUAGAACAGGCUUAAAUUUAAUACAAAUGUACUAAACACUCCAAUUUAGAGACAUAGGGACAUUAGAAUAAACUGUAGGGCAGAGAAGACCAACUAUAUGCUGUUUACAAGAGACAUGCUUUACAAAAGAACACAGAUCAGAAGUUAACAGAAACUCUCUCUAGAGGAAACUCCUUCACUGUCAGGCCUAAAGUAACUUCCACAAUGAAGUUCCAAUAUGUGGGCGGCAAGCCAUCCAGGUGCCGAGGCAAGAGACCGAGGGCACGAGCUGUUCCAGUGUAAUAAAA
RNAcentral lists this long non-coding RNA (1443 nucleotides) under Homo sapiens (human). RNAcentral's name for it is "HSALNT0197715". Lineage: Eukaryota; Metazoa; Chordata; Mammalia; Primates; Hominidae. The record is from RNAcentral.